GACGAACGCUGGCGGCGUGCUUAACACAUGCAAGUCGAACGGAAAGGCCCUGCUUUUGUGGGGUGCUCGAGUGGCGAACGGGUGAGUAACACGUGAGUAACCUGCCCUUGACUUUGGGAUAACUUCAGGAAACUGGGGCUAAUACCGGAUAGGAGCUCCUGCUGCAUGGUGGGGGUUGGAAAGUUUCGGCGGUUGGGGAUGGACUCGCGGCUUAUCAGCUUGUUGGUGGGGUAGUGGCUUACCAAGGCUUUGACGGGUAGCCGGCCUGAGAGGGUGACCGGCCACAUUGGGACUGGGGUACCGCCCAGACUCCUACGGGAGGCAACAGUGGGGAAUAUUGCACAAUGGGCGGAAGCCUGAUGCAGCAACGCCGCGUGCGGGAUGACGGCCUUCGGGUUGUAAACCGCUUUCGCCUGUGACGAAGCGUGAGUGACGGUAAUGGGUAAAGAAGCACCGGCUAACUACGUG
This 468-nucleotide ribosomal RNA is filed under the name uncultured bacterium. RNAcentral describes it as "partial 16S ribosomal RNA". It matches the Rfam family "Bacterial small subunit ribosomal RNA", at positions 28 to 507 of the family's 1533-position model. The record is from RNAcentral.